This 100-nucleotide unclassified non-coding RNA is filed under the name Chryseobacterium taichungense. RNAcentral describes it as "Flavo-1 RNA". The record is from RNAcentral. Lineage: Bacteria; Pseudomonadati; Bacteroidota; Flavobacteriia; Flavobacteriales; Weeksellaceae.
AUUUAGCCCGGAUUGAGCGGCAUGUCUGAGCUCUUUCAAUUUUUCGGCGGGCAAAGCCCGCCGAAAAAUUGAAAAGCGAGUAGCGAAAGCCGGAAAAAGC